RNAcentral lists this ribosomal RNA (627 nucleotides) under uncultured fungus. RNAcentral describes it as "LSU rRNA". It matches the Rfam family "Eukaryotic large subunit ribosomal RNA", at positions 23 to 664 of the family's 3401-position model. The record is from RNAcentral. Lineage: Eukaryota; Fungi.
ACCCGCUGAACUUAAGCAUAUCAAUAAGCGGAGGAAAAGAAACCAACAGGGAUUGCCUCAGUAACGGCGAGUGAAGCGGCAACAGCUCAAAUUUGAAAUCUCAGGUAUUCUACUUGCGAGUUGUAAUUUGAAGAGGAUGUUUCGGUUGUGACCUUGGCCUAAGUUCCUUGGAACAGGACGUCGUAGAGGGUGAGAAUCCCGUACACGGCUGUAGGUUUACUUCCAUGUGUAACUCCUUCGAAGAGUCGAGUUGUUUGGGAAUGCAGCUCAAAAUGGGUGGUAAAUUUCAUCUAAAGCUAAAUACUGGCGAGAGACCGAUAGCGCACAAGUAGAGUGAUCGAAAGAUGAAAAGCACUUUGAAAAGAGAGUUAAACAGUACGUGAAAUUGUUGAAAGGGAAGCGUUUGCAAUCAGACUUGCUUUCGGUUGAUCAACGUUCCUUCUGGUUCGUGCACUCUGCCGUUCGCAGGCCAGCAUCGGUUAGGACGGUGGGACAAAGACUCAAGGAAUGUGGCAUCCUUCGGGGUGUGUUAUAGCCUUGUGUGUAAUGCCACCUGACCUGACCGAGGUCCGCGCUUUUGCUAGGAUGCUGGCGUAAUGGUUGUAAACGACCCGUCUUGAAACACGG